GGCUUGAUAACUCAGUUGGUAAGAGCAUUGCACCGGCAUCGCAAGGUCGUGGAUUCGAAUCCCGUUUAAACACG
RNAcentral lists this transfer RNA (74 nucleotides) under Desmophyllum pertusum. RNAcentral describes it as "tRNA-Ala". Lineage: Eukaryota; Metazoa; Cnidaria; Anthozoa; Scleractinia; Caryophylliidae. The record is from RNAcentral.